GACCUAUGAUAUUUGGAUGAAUAUUAUUGGUUUACCAGAACGUCAAAUUUCUAGAAAAGGAGAAAAUGAUAAUUGGUGGAGCAUGGGAAGCACGGGGCCGUGUGGCCCUUGUACUGAAAUUUACUGGGACUUCGGCGCUCCUCUUGAUUGUAAAACUCGAUAUCUAGAACUCUGGAAUAUUGUAUUUAUAGAAAAAGAAAUGUCAAGUGAUGGUUCACUCUAUUUUUA
Molecule: long non-coding RNA, 228 nt
Organism: Zophobas morio
Lineage: Eukaryota; Metazoa; Arthropoda; Insecta; Coleoptera; Tenebrionidae
Exons: 3
Source: RefSeq, a predicted model, not a curated record